Molecule: unclassified non-coding RNA, 400 nt
Filed under: uncultured fungus
Lineage: Eukaryota; Fungi
Description: sequence contains ITS1
Rfam family: 5.8S ribosomal RNA (bases 1-106)
Source: RNAcentral
GAAAUGCGAUACGUAAUGCGAAUUGCAGAAUUCAGUGAAUCAUCAAAUCUUUGAACGCAAAUUGCGCUUCUUGGAUAGGCCAGGAAGCAUGCCUCUUUGAGCAUCGUUUUCACACCAAAGCUCGAGACUGCUGCUUUGAUUAGUAGUAUUGUUCUCGGAUAAUGAGUGAACUGCUUCUCAUUCGAAAGAAUGGGUCACUUUAAAUAGCUUUGAUUAGCUUUCCAAACAAAAACGAUUGUUAUUCAAUUCGCUUUUUCGUUGGAACGUGGAUAAUCUUUAUUUACGUAUACAAUGAGAUUGUGACGAGUGAUAAUUGUAUGGAUUUCUAAUCAGUGGAAAUUAAACAUAAGUAAAGAACGCAAGUUCUUUAUCUUUUGAAUUAGAUCUCAAAUGAAGCAAG